RNAcentral lists this ribosomal RNA (449 nucleotides) under uncultured bacterium. Its description in RNAcentral is "partial 16S ribosomal RNA". It matches the Rfam family "Bacterial small subunit ribosomal RNA", at positions 29 to 523 of the family's 1533-position model. The record is from RNAcentral.
AACGAACGCUGGCGGCAUGCCUAACACAUGCAAGUCGAACGAAGCCUUCGGGCUUAGUGGCGCACGGGUGCGUAACGCGUGGGAAUCUGCCCUUGGGUUCGGAAUAACAGUUAGAAAUGACUGCUAAUACCGGAUGAUGUCUUCGGACCAAAGAUUUAUCGCCUAAGGAUAAGCCCGCGUAGGAUUAGGUAGUUGGUGGGGUAAUGGCCCACCAAGCCGACGAUCCUUAGCUGGUCUGAGAGGAUGAUCAGUCACACUGGGACUGAGACACGGCCCAGACUCCUACGGGAGGCAGCAGUAAGGAAUAUUGGUCAAUGGACGCAAGUCUGAACCAGCCAUGCCGCGUGAGUGAUGAAGGCCUUAGGGUUGUAAAGCUCUUUCAGUAGGGAAGAUAAUGACGGUACCUACAGAAGAAGCCCCGGCUAACUUCGUGCCAGCCGCCGCAGUAA